RNAcentral lists this ribosomal RNA (273 nucleotides) under uncultured bacterium. RNAcentral's name for it is "partial 16S ribosomal RNA". It matches the Rfam family "Bacterial small subunit ribosomal RNA", at positions 524 to 796 of the family's 1533-position model. The record is from RNAcentral.
UACGUAGGGUGCGAGCGUUAAUCGGAAUUACUGGGCGUAAAGCGCGCGUAGGUGGUUUGUUAAGUUGGAUGUGAAAGCCCCGGGCUCAACCUGGGAACUGCCUCCAAAACUGGAAAGCUAGAGUAUGGCAGAGGGUGGGGGAAUUUCCUGUGUAGCGGUGAAAUGCGUAGAGAUCGGAAGGAACACCAGUGGCGAAGGCGACAACCUGGGCUAAUACUGACACUGAGGUGCGAAAGCGUGGGGAGCAAACAGGAUUAGAUACCCGUGUAGUCC